UACGUAGGGUGCAGGCGUUAAUCGGAAUUACUGGGCGUAAAGCGUGCGCAGGCGGUCUGUUAAGAGAGAUGUGAAAUCCCCGGGCUUAACCUGGGAACUGCGUUUCUAACUGGCAGGCUUGAGUGUGGCAGAGGGGGGUGGAAUUCCACGUGUAGCAGUGAAAUGCGUAGAGAUGUGGAGGAACACCGAUGGCGAAGGCAGCCCCCUGGGCUAACACUGACGCUGAGGCGCGAAAGCGUGGGGAGCAAACAGG
RNAcentral lists this ribosomal RNA (253 nucleotides) under uncultured bacterium. Its description in RNAcentral is "partial 16S ribosomal RNA". It matches the Rfam family "Bacterial small subunit ribosomal RNA", at positions 524 to 776 of the family's 1533-position model. The record is from RNAcentral.